This 73-nucleotide transfer RNA is filed under the name Chloroflexi bacterium ADurb.Bin344. RNAcentral's name for it is "tRNA-Lys". It matches the Rfam family "tRNA". Rfam says of the family: Transfer RNA (tRNA) molecules are approximately 80 nucleotides in length. Their secondary structure includes four short double-helical elements and three loops (D, anti-codon, and T loops). Lineage: Bacteria; Bacillati; Chloroflexota. The record is from RNAcentral.
GGGCGUAUAGCUCAAUGGUAGAGCAGUGGCCUUUUAAGCCAUUUGUUCUGGGUUCGAGCCCCAGUACGCUCAC